UACAGAGGGGGCGAGCGUUGUUCGGAAUUACUGGGCGUAAAGGGCGCGUAGGCGGCCUGCUAUGUCGAACGUGAAAUCCCCGGGCUCAACCCGGGAACUGCGUCCGAAACUGGCAGGCUUGAAUCCGGGAGAGGGAUGUGGAAUUCCAGGUGUAGCGGUGAAAUGCGUAGAUAUCGGGAGGAACACUAGAGGCGAAGGCGGCGACCUGGACAGGCACUGACACUCAACUACGAAAGCGUGGGGAGCAAACAGG
Molecule: ribosomal RNA, 253 nt
Filed under: uncultured bacterium
Lineage: Bacteria
Description: partial 16S ribosomal RNA
Rfam family: Bacterial small subunit ribosomal RNA
Source: RNAcentral